This 472-nucleotide ribosomal RNA is filed under the name Streptomyces badius. Its description in RNAcentral is "bacterial SSU rRNA". It matches the Rfam family "Bacterial small subunit ribosomal RNA", at positions 111 to 598 of the family's 1533-position model. The record is from RNAcentral. Lineage: Bacteria; Bacillati; Actinomycetota; Actinomycetes; Kitasatosporales; Streptomycetaceae.
UAACACGUGGGCAAUCUGCCCUUCACUCUGGGACAAGCCCUGGAAACGGGGUCUAAUACCGGAUAACACUCUGUCCUGCAUGGGACGGGGUUGAAAGCUCCGGCGGUGAAGGAUGAGCCCGCGGCCUAUCAGCUUGUUGGUGGGGUAAUGGCCUACCAAGGCGACGACGGGUAGCCGGCCUGAGAGGGCGACCGGCCACACUGGGACUGAGACACGGCCCAGACUCCUACGGGAGGCAGCAGUGGGGAAUAUUGCACAAUGGGCGAAAGCCUGAUGCAGCGACGCCGCGUGAGGGAUGACGGCCUUCGGGUUGUAAACCUCUUUCAGCAGGGAAGAAGCGCAAGUGACGGUACCUGCAGAAGAAGCGCCGGCUAACUACGUGCCAGCAGCCGCGGUAAUACGUAGGGCGCAAGCGUUGUCCGGAAUUAUUGGGCGUAAAGAGCUCGUAGCGGCUUGUCACGUCGGAUGUGAA